Molecule: ribosomal RNA, 440 nt
Filed under: uncultured bacterium
Lineage: Bacteria
Description: partial 16S ribosomal RNA
Rfam family: Bacterial small subunit ribosomal RNA
Source: RNAcentral
CCUACGGGGGGCAGCAGUGGGGAAUAUUGCACAAUGGGGGAAACCCUGAUGCAGCGACGCCGCGUGAGUGAAGAAGUUUUUCGGUAUGUAAAGCUCUAUCAGCAGGGAAGAAAAUUACGGUACCUGACUAACAAGCCCCGGCCAACUACGUGCCAGCAGCCGCGGUAAUACGGAGGGGGCAAGCGUUAGCCGGAUUUACUGGGUGUAAAGGGAGCGGAGGCGGCAAGGUAAGUCAGAAGUGAAAGCCCGCGGCUCAACUGCGGGACUGCUUUUGGAACUAUCAAACUAGAUUGCGGGAGAGGUUAGUGGAAUUCCUGGUGUAGCAGUGAAAGGCGUAGAUAUCAGGAGGAACAGCAGUGGCGAAGGCGACUUACUGGAAUGUAACUGACGUUGAGGAUCGAAAGCGUGGGGAGCAAACAGGAUUAGAUACCCUGGUAGUC